Eubacteriaceae bacterium CHKCI004 is the source of this 86-nucleotide transfer RNA. It matches the Rfam family "tRNA". From Rfam's summary of the family: Transfer RNA (tRNA) molecules are approximately 80 nucleotides in length. Their secondary structure includes four short double-helical elements and three loops (D, anti-codon, and T loops). The record is from Rfam. NCBI's taxonomy places the organism in Bacteria, Bacillati, Bacillota, Clostridia, Eubacteriales, Eubacteriaceae.
GCGGAUAUGGCGGAAUUGGCAGACGCGCUAGAUUCAGGUUCUAGUGAGCAAUAUCGCUCAUGCAAGUUCAAGUCUUGUUAUCCGCA